Molecule: unclassified non-coding RNA, 21 nt
Filed under: Chlamydomonas reinhardtii
Lineage: Eukaryota; Viridiplantae; Chlorophyta; Chlorophyceae; Chlamydomonadales; Chlamydomonadaceae
Description: small RNA Cre_2254
Source: RNAcentral
UACUGAGCCGAAUUACUAUGG